Molecule: ribosomal RNA, 279 nt
Filed under: uncultured bacterium
Lineage: Bacteria
Description: partial 16S ribosomal RNA
Rfam family: Bacterial small subunit ribosomal RNA
Source: RNAcentral
UGCCAGCCGCCGCGGUAAUACGGAGGGAGCUAGCGUUGUUCGGAAUUACUGGGCGUAAAGCGUGCGUAGGCGGAUCGACAAGUUGGGGGUGAAAUCCCGGGGCUUAACCCCGGAACUGCCCUUGAAACUGGGAGUCUAGAGAUCAGGAGAGGUUAGUGGAAUACCGAGUGUAGAGGUGAAAUUCGUAGAUAUUCGGUGGAACACCAGUGGCGAAGGCGACUAACUGGACUGAUACUGACGCUGAGGUGCGAAAGUGUGGGGAGCAAACAGGAUUAGAUA